AUUGAACGCUGGCGGCAUGCCUUACACAUGCAAGUCGAACGGCAGCACGGGAGCAAUCCUGGUGGCGAGUGGCGAACGGGUGAGUAAUAUAUCGGAACGUGCCCAGUCGUGGGGAUAACGUAGCGAAAGCUACGCUAAUACCGCAUACGAUCUAUGGAUGAAAGCGGGGGAUCGCAAGACCUCGCGCGAUUGGAGCGGCCGAUAUCAGAUUAGGUAGUUGGUGAGGUAAAGGCUCACCAAGCCGACGAUCUGUAGCUGGUCUGAGAGGACGACCAGCCACACUGGGACUGAGACACGGCCCAGACUCCUACGGGAGGCAGGCAGUGGGGGAAUUUUUGGGACAAUGGCGCAAGCCUGAUCCAGCAAUGCCGCGUGCAGGAUGAA
RNAcentral lists this ribosomal RNA (384 nucleotides) under uncultured bacterium. RNAcentral describes it as "bacterial SSU rRNA". It matches the Rfam family "Bacterial small subunit ribosomal RNA", at positions 30 to 412 of the family's 1533-position model. The record is from RNAcentral.